ACGCUGGCGGCGUGCCUAAUACAUGCAAGUCGAGCGGACAUAAUGGAGCUUGCUCCAUUAUGUUAGCGGCGGACGGGUGAGUAACACGUGGGCAACCUGCCUGUAAGACUGGGAUAACUCCGGGAAACCGGAGCUAAUACCGGAUAGUAUCUUGAACCGCAUGGUUCAAGUUGGAAAGACGGUUUCGGCUGUCACUUACAGAUGGGCCCGCGGCGCAUUAGCUAGUUGGUGAGGUAAUGGCUCACCAAGGCAACGAUGCGUAGCCGACCUGAGAGGGUGAUCGGCCACACUGGGACUGAGACACGGCCCAGACUCCUACGGGAGGCAGCAGUAGGGAAUCUUCCGCAAUGGACGAAAGUCUGACGGAGCAACGCCGCGUGAGUGAUGAAGGUUUUCGGAUCGUAAAACUCUGUUGUUAGGGAAGAACAAGUGCGAGAGUAACUGCUCGCACCUUGACGGUACCUAACCAGAAAGCCACGGCUAACUACGUGCCAGCAGCCGCGGUAAUACGUAGGUGGCAAGCGUUGUCCGGAAUUAUUGGGCGUAAAGCGCGCGCAGGCGGUUUCUUAAGUCUGAUGUGAAAGCCCCCGGCUCAND
This 597-nucleotide ribosomal RNA is filed under the name uncultured Gram-positive bacterium. RNAcentral's name for it is "bacterial SSU rRNA". It matches the Rfam family "Bacterial small subunit ribosomal RNA", at positions 33 to 613 of the family's 1533-position model. The record is from RNAcentral.